RNAcentral lists this unclassified non-coding RNA (331 nucleotides) under soil metagenome. RNAcentral's name for it is "partial contains 5.8S ribosomal RNA, internal transcribed spacer 2, and large subunit ribosomal RNA". The stretch from base 1 to 120 matches the Rfam family "5.8S ribosomal RNA", at positions 35 to 154 of the family's 154-position model. The record is from RNAcentral.
GAUGAAGAACGUAGUGAAAUGCGAUAAGUAAUGUGAAUUGCAGAAUUCAGUGAAUCAUCGAAUCUUUGAACGCACAUUGCGCCCCCUGGUAUUCCGGGGGGCAUGCCUGUUCGAGCGUCAUUUCACCACUCAAGCCUCGCUUGGUAUUGGGCAACGCGGUCCGCCGCGUGCCUCAAAUCGACCGGCUGGGUCUUCUGUCCCCUAAGCGUUGUGGAAACUAUUCGCUAAAGGGUGCUCGGGAGGCUACGGCGUAAAACAAACCCAUUUCUAAGGUUGACCUCGGAUCAGGUAGGGAUACCCGCUGAACUUAAGCAUAUCAAUAAGCGGAGGA